Molecule: non-coding RNA, 604 nt
Organism: Heterocephalus glaber (naked mole-rat)
Lineage: Eukaryota; Metazoa; Chordata; Mammalia; Rodentia; Bathyergidae
Source: the annotation of a RefSeq genome assembly
AUAAUCUGCAAGAACAUGGAACAUUCUUGGUUCCUCCUUUUUCUAGGGGUGGUUCCCAGAGGUGUCCUGUCCCAGGUGCAGCUGCAGGAGUCGGGGCCUGGCCUGGUGAAGCCCUCACAGGCCCUGUCCCUCAUCUGCUCAGUCUCUGGUUACUCCAUCACCAGUGGUUAUUAUUGGAGCUGGAUCCGCCAGCCCCAAGGGAAGGGGCUGCAGUGGAUGGGGUGGAUUAGUAGUGGUGGAAGCACAGCUUAUAAUCCGUCCCUGAAGAGCCAAAUCAGCAUCUCCAGAGACACGUCCAAGAACCAGUUCUCUCUGCAGCUUAACUCUGUGACAGCUGAGGACACCGCCAUGUAUUACUGUGCAAGAGACACAGUGAGAGGACAUCAGUGUGAGCCCAGUCAUAAACCUCCACGCAGGAGUGCUUCGGACCAGCAGGGAGUGAUGGGGAUACAUCGAGCACCUCACAGGGCUUCAGAAACAGGUGCAGAGAAGGAAGCUGGGGAGUGAAGGCUUCCUGUUGGCCUCUGGGGUUUUCUCUCUGUCUUAACAUCAUAUGAUCUGAAGAGACCCUGGAGUACAUCUGCUAUAAUUGACUAUGCAGAAU